ACCUGAGAGUAGGCAAGACUACCCGCCAAAUUUAAGCAUAUUAAUAAGCGGAGGAAAAGAAAAUAACCAUGAUGGCCUUAGUAAUGGCGAAUGAAACGGCCAGAGCCCAGCACCGAACCGCCGGCCAUCUCGGUCGCGUGGAAUGUGGUGUUUGGGA
Molecule: ribosomal RNA, 157 nt
Filed under: Oithona environmental sample
Lineage: Eukaryota; Metazoa; Arthropoda; Copepoda; Cyclopoida; Oithonidae
Description: 5.8S ribosomal RNA
Rfam family: Eukaryotic large subunit ribosomal RNA
Source: RNAcentral